GGAGACUUUGAUCCUGGCUCAGAUUGAACGCUGGCGGCAGGCCUAACACAUGCAAGUCGAGCGGAUGAGUGGAGCUUGCUCCAUGAUUCAGCGGCGGACGGGUGAGUAAUGCCUAGGAAUCUGCCUGGUAGUGGGGGACAACGUUUCAAAAGGAACGCUAAUACCGCAUACGUCCUACGGGAGAAAGCAGGGGACCUUUCGGGGCCUUGCGCUAUCAGAUGAGCCUAGGUCGGAUUAGCUAGUAGGUGAGGUAAUGGCUCACCUAGGCGACGAUCCGUAACUGGUCUGAGAGGAUGGUCAGUCACACUGGAACUGAGACACGGUCCAGACUCCUACGGGAGGCAGCAGUGGGGAAUAUUGGACAAUGGGCGAAAGCCUGGUCCAGCCAUGCCGCGUGUGUGAAGAAGGUCUUCGGAUUGUAAAGCACUUUAAGUUGGGAGGAAGGGCAGUAAGUUAAUACCUUGCUGUUUUGACGUUACCAACAGAAUAAGCACCGGCUAACUUCGUGCCAGCAGCCGCGGUAAUACGAAGGGUGCAAGCGUUAAUCGGAAUUACUGGGCGUAAAGCGCGCGUAGGUGGUUCAGCAAGUUGGAGGUGAAAUCCCCGGGCUCAACCUGGGAACUGCCUCCAAAACCACUGAGCUAGAGUACGGUAGAGGGUAGUGGAAUUUCCUGUGUAGCGGUGAAAUGCGUAGAUAUAGGAAGGAACACCAGUGGCGAAGGCGACUACCUGGACUGAUACUGACACUGAGGUGCGAAAGCGUGGGGAGCAAACAGGAUUAGAUCCCCUGGUAGUCCACGCCGUAAAC
RNAcentral lists this ribosomal RNA (808 nucleotides) under uncultured bacterium. RNAcentral describes it as "bacterial SSU rRNA". It matches the Rfam family "Bacterial small subunit ribosomal RNA", at positions 8 to 807 of the family's 1533-position model. The record is from RNAcentral.